UUUUUUUAUGGAGAGUUUGAUCCUGGCUCAGGACGAACGCUGGCGGCGUGCUUAACACAUGCAAGUCGAACGGAAAGGCCUAGCUUGCUAGGUACUCGAGUGGCGAACGGGUGAGUAACACGUGGGUGAUCUGCCUCGUACUUCGGGAUAAGCCUGGGAAACUGGGUCUAAUACUGGAUAGGACCAUGCUUUAGUGUGUGUGGUGGAAAGUUUUUUCGGUACGAGAUGAGCCCGCGGCCUAUCAGCUUGUUGGUGGGGUAAUGGCCUACCAAGGCGUCGACGGGUAGCCGGCCUGAGAGGGUGGACGGCCACAUUGGGACUGAGAUACGGCCCAGACUCCUACGGGAGGCAGCAGUGGGGAAUAUUGCACAAUGGGCGCAAGCCUGAUGCAGCGACGCCGCGUGGGGGAUGACGGCCUUCGGGUUGUAAACCUCUUUCGCUAGGGACGAAGCUUUUGUGACGGUACCUAGAUAAGAAGCACCGGCUAACUACGUGCCAGCAGCCGCGGUAAUACGUAGGGUGCGAGCGUUGUCCGGAAUUACUGGGCGUAAAGAGCUCGUAGGUGGUUUGUCGCGU
This 576-nucleotide ribosomal RNA is filed under the name Corynebacterium diphtheriae. RNAcentral's name for it is "bacterial SSU rRNA". It matches the Rfam family "Bacterial small subunit ribosomal RNA", at positions 1 to 588 of the family's 1533-position model. The record is from RNAcentral. Lineage: Bacteria; Bacillati; Actinomycetota; Actinomycetes; Mycobacteriales; Corynebacteriaceae.